Molecule: unclassified non-coding RNA, 345 nt
Filed under: soil metagenome
Description: partial contains 5.8S ribosomal RNA, internal transcribed spacer 2, and large subunit ribosomal RNA
Rfam family: 5.8S ribosomal RNA (bases 1-120)
Source: RNAcentral
GAUGAAGAACGCAGCGAAAUGCGAUAACUAAUGUGAAUUGCAGAAUUCCGUGAAUCAUCGAGUCUUUGAACGCACAUUGCGCCCCCUGGUAUUCCGGGGGGCAUGCCUGUCCGAGCGUCAUUGCUGCCCUCAAGCACGGCUUGUGUGUUGGGCCUCCGUCCUCCUCCCGGGGGACGGGCCCGAAAGGCAGCGGCGGCACCGCGUCCGGUCCUCGAGCGUAUGGGGCUUCGUCACCCGCUCUUGUAGGCCCGGCCGGCGCUUGCCGACACAUCAAUCUUUUUUCCAGGUUGACCUCGGAUCAGGUAGGGAUACCCGCUGAACUUAAGCAUAUCAAUAAGCGGAGGA